RNAcentral lists this transfer RNA (61 nucleotides) under Ictidomys tridecemlineatus (thirteen-lined ground squirrel). RNAcentral describes it as "Spermophilus tridecemlineatus (thirteen-lined ground squirrel) tRNA". It matches the Rfam family "tRNA", at positions 6 to 65 of the family's 71-position model. Rfam says of the family: Transfer RNA (tRNA) molecules are approximately 80 nucleotides in length. Their secondary structure includes four short double-helical elements and three loops (D, anti-codon, and T loops). Lineage: Eukaryota; Metazoa; Chordata; Mammalia; Rodentia; Sciuridae. The record is from Rfam by way of RNAcentral.
UGUAGCUCAGUGGCAGAGCAUGUGCUUAGCAUGCAUAAGGCCCUAGGUUUAAUCUCUAGCA